Non-coding RNA from Drosophila virilis, 1033 nucleotides. The record is from RefSeq and is a predicted model, not a curated record. NCBI's taxonomy places the organism in Eukaryota, Metazoa, Arthropoda, Insecta, Diptera, Drosophilidae.
UAUAUUUGGUUGCGUGCUUAAAAACAUAAAUAAAUGCAUGUAAAAAUGACAGAUACUUUUCCGAUAACAAGUACCAAAACUCGACACUAAGUCACCGACGCUAGUUUGACGCACAUCGAAUAAUUCAUUAUCAACACGUGCAAUCGCUCACUUUUAAAUGAUUUUGUUAAUGUUUUAUGUUCCCCAAAAUCAUGUAAAUUUUAUUGCAUAAUUGCAAAAAAUUAUAUUAUUCACAAUCUACAUUAAUUUUUUUAUAGUUUUAAAAAUUAGGUUUCCGUCAUUCAUUAAGUAUGCUAAUUUAAUAGUGCAAAAGCCUGCAUAUACAAAGAGGAAUUUUUUCCCUAAGGAGUUAAAUAUAGUUCUUUUCCCGGAGAAUUCCGUAAUUAAUCGCGUUAUCUCUGGGACGGUCUCGUGUUCGCUUCCAGGACCUGGCCUUGCGAUUGGAUUUCGGACAACACAUCUACCAUGUCAGAGUUGUCCGUAGCUUGUCUUAUCAGAUCGCCUCCUUCGAGGGUCUCUCGGAUUACACCAACUAUAACAUCUCCUAGUUCUGGUUUAGCAAUAGGAAUGCUGCUAGCUGGUUGCCCUCGCGGUGGGCCGCGCUUGGCCCAAGGGAAAGGCAGUUGAUAGCUUUGGACAAUUCGUCUUGCAUCUUUUUCGGUAUUUAGUGUUUUAUUGUGAACCAUACAAAGAAUUCUUUACCGACUACUUAUAGGGUAUACUUCUUUAAUUUAUUUUCUACUGAUAUAGGGAUGUUUAAAAUAUUAACACAAAAAUGUAAAAUGUGACAAUGAUAAUCAAUUUAAAAAAGCAGUUAAAUAUCAGAAUUAUUCGAAAAAGGAAGUUGAAUUAAUAAGUUAUAAAAGUUGGUUAGUUUCCGUAAAAUAAAUUUGUAUCCUUAUAUGAAAUAUGUUCGCUGAUAUUAUAUUAUAGUUUAUUUUUUGUUAAAUUCUUUCAAAGUGAUUCGUUAAGUUUUAUUCUUAAAGAUUUUUCGUGUUAUUCAAUGCAAUAUGUUCACUUAUGUUUAAUUUUA